This 522-nucleotide ribosomal RNA is filed under the name Triticum aestivum (bread wheat). Its description in RNAcentral is "partial small subunit ribosomal RNA". Lineage: Eukaryota; Viridiplantae; Streptophyta; Magnoliopsida; Poales; Poaceae. The record is from RNAcentral.
AUGUUCAUUGAGAAGUUUUUGUCUGAGCUGGAGGCGAUCCCCGACGGGAAAGAGGGACCCAGGGACCGAAAUGCAAAAUCCAAGGACCUGCAUGCAACGCCCAGGGACGUGCAUGUAACGCCCCGGGAGGAAUCAGUGCAGCGCGACCGACCAGUUCGGACGACCUGGCUCCCGCCGGCGAAGCAUGACGUGAAGAUUAAUGUUGACGGUGGCCUUUCCAAGGUUGGAGACCGAGGGGCUUCGGCGGUGAUCUGCAGGGAUAAGAAUGGCAUGUUUCUUGGGGCUUCCGCGGUUAUUUUCGAGGGUUUGCUUGACCCAACUACACUCGAAGCUCAGGCGUGCAACGAGGCCCUUGCUCUUGCCGCGGACCUCCAUGCUCAAUCCGUGUGUGUUGCAUCGGACUGCCUCGAGGUGAUCACCUAUAUCCAUACUGGUGCCUCAUGUCGAUACUUUGCUAUCUUGGAGGAGAUCAAGCACAGGAUGCGUUCAGAUCCAAGAUUUACAGUUUGUGCACGAGAAUAG